AUGCCGCCGCCUCCCUCCCUUCCGGUGCUUCCGGCGGCGCCGAACCCCGCCGCCGUGCUCCACGCCGCGCUCCUCAGAUCCUCCCCUUCCCGCCUCCCUCCCCGCCUCUCCUUCAACUCCCUGCUCGCCGCCGCCUCCACCUCCUCGCACCCCCGCCUCCGCUCCCUCGCCCUCCCGGCCCUCGCGCUCGCGCACCGCUGCCCCGCCGCCGCCGGCCCGCUCGACUCCUACGCGCUCUGCUCCGCGCUCCGCCACGCCUCCGCCGCCGAGGCGGGGCCCCUCCACGCGCUCGCCGCGAGGUCCGGGUGGCUCGGCAGCGUCUUCGUGUCCUGCGCGCUCGCCGCGUCCUACGGCGGGUCCGGCCGGUUCCUGGACGCCCGCAGGCUGUUCGACGAAAGCCCCGUCAGGAAUGGCGUCUUCGGGAACGCCGUUCUCGCGGCCUACGUGAGCGCGGGGAAGUGGGCUCCGGCUCUGGAGUUCGCGAGGAGGUUUCCGGAGUAUGGGCUGCCGGCCGACGGGUACACGAUGACGGCCGUGGUGAGGGCCUGCGGAGAGACGGCGAAUGGUGAUCUGGGUGGAGAGGCGCACGGGCAUGCGAUCAGGAGGGUCAGAGGUGUGGGGUCCGACGUGUUCCUGAUCAGCGCGCUCGUGGACAUGUACGCCAAAUGCGGGCUCAUUGGACACGCGGAGCGGGUGUUCAGGCUGGCGCUGUGGGGCAACGCUGGUGGAGACGAUGUUGUGCUAUGGACGGCGAUGCUGAAUGCUUAUGGGCGGCAUGGGAAGUGCAAGGAGGUUAUCCAGACUUAUGACCAGAUGGUGGCUUCCGGGGUCUGGCCUGACGAUCUGGCUAUUCUGGCCGUGCUCUCAGCAUGCCAGCAUGCUGGGGAUGUUGCCAAGGGGCUCAAGUAUUUCGAGUCUAUGCGCGCAGAUUACGGGCUGGUGCCUGCACCAGAGCACUACAGUUGUGUGGUCAACAUGCUAUGCCGGGCAGGAGAAGUAGCCAGGGCAUGGGAGAUCGCUAGCAGGAAGGAAUGUGGAGGUAAUAUCGGCGUGUCUACAUGGGGCGCUCUUCUCAGUGCUUGCUGUGAUUGCCGCAAUGUUGAGCUCGGGAGACUGGCAGCUCGGAAGGCAAUUGAACUGGAGCCUAGGAAUGUUGGGAUUUAUGUCGAGCUGUCAAAUUUGUAUGCGAAUGCUGGCUUGUGGGAGGAGAUUAACAAGCUGCGGGAGGUGAUGAAGGACAGGGGUUUCGAAAAGAAUGUCGGAUCUACCUGGGUUGAGCAGAAUUCUUGA
RNAcentral lists this ribosomal RNA (1290 nucleotides) under Triticum aestivum (bread wheat). RNAcentral describes it as "partial small subunit ribosomal RNA". The record is from RNAcentral. Lineage: Eukaryota; Viridiplantae; Streptophyta; Magnoliopsida; Poales; Poaceae.